RNAcentral lists this long non-coding RNA (1242 nucleotides) under Phasianus colchicus (ring-necked pheasant). RNAcentral's name for it is "lncRNA (ENSPCLG00000017342.1)". Lineage: Eukaryota; Metazoa; Chordata; Aves; Galliformes; Phasianidae. The record is from RNAcentral.
CCCUGCUGCACCCCACUGCACCCCUGCUGCAUCCCACUGCAUUCUUGUUGUACCCCACUGCAACCCUGCUGCAUCCCACUGCAAUCCUGUUGCAUCCCAGUGCAACCCUACUGCAUCCCACUGCAACCCUGCUGCACCCCACUGCAAUCCUGUUACAUCCCACUGCAACCCUGCUGCACCCUCCACUGCAUUCCUGCUGCACCCCCCACUGCAAUCCUGUUGCAUCCCAUUACAACCCUGCUGCAUCCCACUGCACCCCACUGCAACCCUGCUGCACCCCACUGCAAUCCACUGCAACCCUGUUGCAUCCCACUGCAAUCCUGUUGCAUCCCACUGCAACCCUGCUGCACCCCACUGCAAUCAACUGCAACCCUGUUGCACCCCACUGCAAUUCUGUUGCAUCCCAUUACAACCCUGCUGCAUCCCACUGCAAUCCACUGCAACCCUGUUGCAUCCCACUGCAACCCUGCUGCACCCCACUGCAAACCACUGCAACCCUGUUGCAUCCCACUGCAAUCCUGUUGCACCCCACUGCAAUCAACUGCAACCCUGCUGCACCCCAGUGCAAUUCUGUUGCAUCCCACUGCAUCCCACCACAAUCCACAGCAACCUUGUCAUUCCACUGCAUCCCUCUGCAACCCUGUUGCAUUUCUACCGUGCACCCGCUGCAUCCUCACUGCACCCACUGCAACCCCACUGCAACCACACUGCAGCUGCACUGCUUCCCCACUGCCCUGCACCCCGAGGAAGGGUGAUGCCAAGCACAGAAUACAACGUUUUCUAGUGGGCUUUGCCCAUCUCCUGCAAUCCCAGCCAGAACUCUCCAGCAGGAGCAGGGAAUUGAUGCACUGCCCCAGGCUUUGCUCCCUGGAGCAGCACGUGAAAUGAAGCAGCAUUUAAUUACCCAGCAUGUCUGUCGUUUGCAAAGCUGUCAGGAUAACCACUCGCCCAUCCCCUGGGACACCCAGCCAUGCUCAGAGCUCAGUGCAGAGCAGCAGUGUGGGACAGCAGAGCCUUGCACACUUGCAAGGGGCACCAGGAGUGCUGCAAUCCAUGCACAUCUGUUGCUCUCUGCAAUAAAGCAAUGCUUUAUUGCCCUGCAGCAGGAGGAUGCCCCGAGGAUCUGCUCCUCUCCCAACAUAGGGUGCAAAAUGGGUUUGCAUGUGGGGGGGCUGUGCAGGCAGCCCCACAGAACUGCCCCACAGUUGCAGCACAGCCUUGCUGCCUUUCCCAAAGCCUCAU